ACUGGCUGGUGGUGUCCAUGUGUGCACAGCGACGCCACCUUUUGAUCCUGCGGUGUCACCUCUUGCUGUCAUUUGGAAAGAGGACUCUCCAACUGGUGGAGCUGUUCACUCACUAAUAUGGAACGUGAGCGCGGCUGACGGCGGUCUUAACCA
Molecule: non-coding RNA, 153 nt
Filed under: Lepisosteus oculatus (spotted gar)
Lineage: Eukaryota; Metazoa; Chordata; Actinopteri; Semionotiformes; Lepisosteidae
Description: Eukaryotic large subunit ribosomal RNA
Rfam family: Eukaryotic large subunit ribosomal RNA
Source: Rfam by way of RNAcentral